UACGUAGGGGGCGAGCGUUGUCCGGAAUUAUUGGGCGUAAAGGGUUCGCAGGCGGCCUUUUAAGUCAGAUGUUAAAUCUCACGGCUUAACCGUGAUAAGCAUUUGAAACUGGAGGGCUUGAGUUAAGGAGAGGAAAGUGGAAUUCCUAGUGUAGCGGUGAAAUGCGUAGAUAUUAGGAGGAAUACCAGUGGCGAAGGCGACUUUCUGGACUUAUACUGACGCUGAGGAACGAAAGCGUGGGGAGCAAACAGG
RNAcentral lists this ribosomal RNA (252 nucleotides) under uncultured bacterium. RNAcentral's name for it is "partial 16S ribosomal RNA". It matches the Rfam family "Bacterial small subunit ribosomal RNA", at positions 524 to 776 of the family's 1533-position model. The record is from RNAcentral.